AUUGCACGCUGGCGGCAGGCCUAACACAUGCAAGUCGAACGAGUGGCGGACGGGUGAGUAAUGUCUGGGAAACUGCCUGAUGGAGGGGGAUAACUACUGGAAACGGUAGCUAAUACCGCAUACCAUCGGAUGUGCCCAGAUGGGCUUAGCUAGUAGGUGGGGUAAAUGCUCACCUAGGCGACGCUCCCUAGCUGGUAUUGGAGGUUGACCAGCCACACUGGAACUGAGACACGGUCCAGACUCCUACGGGAGGCAGCAGUGGGGAAUAUUGCACAAUGGGCGCAAGCCUGAUGCAGCCAUGCCGCGUGUAUGAAGAAGGCCUUCGGAUUGGAAAGUACUUUCAGCGGGGAAGCGUUACCCGCAGAAGAAGCAACGGCUAACUCCGUGCCAGCAGCCGCGGUAAUAC
Molecule: ribosomal RNA, 406 nt
Filed under: uncultured bacterium
Lineage: Bacteria
Description: partial 16S ribosomal RNA
Rfam family: Bacterial small subunit ribosomal RNA
Source: RNAcentral